RNAcentral lists this long non-coding RNA (567 nucleotides) under Mus musculus (house mouse). Its description in RNAcentral is "predicted gene, 50062". Lineage: Eukaryota; Metazoa; Chordata; Mammalia; Rodentia; Muridae. The record is from RNAcentral.
CCAGCUCUUGGCUUUUAGCUUAUUCCCUUUGAUUUCAUGAGCUUGCUCUUUGUGGGACUCUGCACUGUUUCAGAUGAAAUCACACAGCAUAAGCUUACCCCUUUAUUAAAGGUUUGUUUUUAUUUAUAGGUAUGUGUGUCCGUCCAUAUUAGCAUGCAUACAUGCAUGCAGGUACCCCUUGAGUUAGGGGUUACAGAUGCUUCUGAGCUGCCUGAGAUGGGUACUGGGAACUGAACUCAGGUCCUCUACAAAACCAGCCAUUGCACGUAACUGAUAAGCCAUCUCUUCAGUCCUCAAAUUGGCCAUUUAAAUUGAAUAGGUUAGGCCAGGGAUGCAAAUCUGUGGGUCAUAACCUGCCUGACACAUUCUAGGCCAGCUCAGAAGUACAAAUAAAAACCAAGUGAACAAUUUAGUCAACAUGUCACAUUUGUAAUGCUGGCACUAGGGAAGCUGAAUCAUGAGAAUCAUGAGUUCAAGGCCAGCCUGGUCUACAGAGUGAGUUCCAGGACAGCCAGGGCUAUACAGAGAAACCCUGUCCCCAAAAACCUAAAAAAAAAAAAAAAAAAA